Polypterus senegalus (gray bichir) is the source of this 1613-nucleotide long non-coding RNA. RefSeq lists it as uncharacterized. NCBI's taxonomy places the organism in Eukaryota, Metazoa, Chordata, Cladistia, Polypteriformes, Polypteridae. The record is from RefSeq and is a predicted model, not a curated record. The transcript is spliced from 3 exons.
UUGUGUUGCACUACAAAUACAUACAGUAUGUUGUUGUAACUGUAAAUUCUAAAACCAUGAUUGGUGAUAUUUUUCUUUUUAGCAUGAAAGACUCAUAUUACUGCCAAAAGUAACACCACUGAAUGCUUGCAGCCAGUAGUUAAUCACUGCUCAUCACCUUCCAAUCACACUUGACCAGAUUUGCCUAUCCUUUUUAUCUAAACAGUUCCUCUUAUGUUGUUGUUAUUAAAAUUUUUUAACAUUGCUGCCUAAAAGUGAAUUGCUGUCGCCCUUCUGGAAACAACUAGAAAAUAACCUCAGAAAAAGUCACACUUAUCAUCACUCAAAUUGUUUUACUGUUCAAGAUGAAGAAAACAGUGAAAUCUGAAAUUCCUGUCACUUUAGUUAUUUCAAUUAGAUAAAAAACAUAAACUCAUUUAAAAUUACAUCAUAAUGCUUUCACACAGCCUGGAAUACUAAGUAAACAGCCAGUAUCUACGUGUUGGGGAAAGUAGAACGUGUGAGAUGGCACAGAGCUGGAAGGAGGCUUGCUCUCAGCAUUUAAAUGGACACGGCAGACAUGACUAUGUAUGCAACUGCAAGAAUAAACUUGCUUCAAAAUAAAUAAAUAAGCUUUCUUUGACUGUGAUACAUAAAGAUGCUGGCCCACAUCUGAGAUUUUACAGUGGCUGAAGGUGGAAAGGCUGAUGGAUCGUGAGAUUUCACUGUAGAUGAGGUGCCUUUUAGAACAAUAAAGUGAUUUAUGUAUACUGAAGCAUAUUGAAGCAUGCUGCAGCUACACUGAAAGGCUGCAACAUGUAGAGCCAGAUGCACACAUAAUGGCUUGAUGUCAGAUUCAUUGUCAAGCUAAGAAAGACGACUGUUUAUUCUAACAAUAGCAUAUAUUACCUGGUCUGCCAUGUCUCUGAAAACAUCAGUGAGCUACUGUACCUUCCAGCUCUGUGCUUUUCAUCUGUAGCUUGCUCUGUCCACAAUGUGCCACCUUGCAUGUUCUCAUUUUCCCAUUUUAAAUUGAUGCUGCCUGCGUACUUGCUAUACUGACAUCCUUUCAGCCAUAUCUGGCACAUGUAACCCUUCAUUCAGAACUGUAUCACAUGUUAUAAGCAGAACAAAAGCAUUAUUAAGCAGUUAUUCACAAUAAACUAGUAAUGCCUUUUUACUUCGGGCAAGUGAAACAAACCCAAAAAAUCUUAACAUCAAAUUUUGAAUUGCUGCAGGAGCUGCCACUUUACCCUGAAAGGUGACACAAAAGAUGGUAAGGGAGACAGACACCAAUAAAGCACAGAAGCUCUGAGAAAAUGUAGCAGUGCCUGAUGGUAAGACACACGUGCAAUAACACAAAAGAAAACUAUGUAAACAUUUACCAUAAAGAUGGUAAAAAUCUAUGCUGACUGCUGAUGAAGAGUGUUUUCUAAUAGGACUACAUGCCUUGGUGUUUACAAAUGUUUCCAUAUCCACAGAAAUAUGUCAUCCAUUUCUCAAGAACAUAAAAGCAGCUUGGAUAUCAACAGCGUCAAAUUAGACCUUGCAAAGAAGCAAGUUAUGUGAUCAUCAAAACAACGACUUUGCCUCCAGAAAAUGUAGAAAUGUGCUGCUGUGAAGUGUAACACAGA